CGCACAAGCAGCACAGAUAGGAAACAAACAUCUCCCCACAUCCCGCCUCCAGCCGCCACAACCGGCCCAAUCAUCGCACGAAAAUCAUGCCGCACCCUGCCCCUUAUCCUCGCUUGGGGAAGCCGCAGACUCAGGACGGCUGGAGCUACCAAUCCGUCCGCGAGAUCAGCGAGGAGAUUGGUCGCGGCUGCUUCGGCGUCGUCCGCUGCUGCACUGGAGGACGAGGCGUUGAUGCACAUGGUGACGGUCUAAUGGACCUCUGCACCGGCCCGGACCUGUCGACUGGGUUCGCCUCCGCCACGGCGCUCCCGUACCGGAGCCGGAUGUCGCCGCUGUUGCCGCACUGCUCGCCGAGGCCCUCGAGAUCUUCCACCGCUGAGACGCCGUCGACACACCAGGGACACGGGAGGGCAGCCAGCCCAGUAGAAUCCCACCUUCUAACCCUAAUUACCAGCGCUCUCUCUCUCUAUCCGCUAGAUUGAACAGGUCACGGGGUUGGAUCGAGCGACCGCACGAGCUGCCGGUGCCGCAGCUGCGUGGAUUCCAGUCACCGCAAGCCUGGAGCCGAACCGCCUGAAAGAAAAUGACGAACCGAAAUGGGACAUGGCAUCUCUAGAGCGUACCACAAGGACUUGGGAAGAGGCAUGGAUGCUACAAAUAGAGCAGUGUGUUUAUCUCAUUUCACCCAAUCAAUUCUUCUUUGUCUUUAUUGUAUGCCAUUUUAUUAAUUAUUUGUAUAUAUCUGCUGUAUCGAUGUACUGAUGUUAACAGAAAUUGUCGUAUCCA
Molecule: long non-coding RNA, 786 nt
Organism: Triticum aestivum (bread wheat)
Lineage: Eukaryota; Viridiplantae; Streptophyta; Magnoliopsida; Poales; Poaceae
Exons: 2
Source: RefSeq, a predicted model, not a curated record